Molecule: ribosomal RNA, 305 nt
Filed under: uncultured bacterium
Lineage: Bacteria
Description: bacterial SSU rRNA
Rfam family: Bacterial small subunit ribosomal RNA
Source: RNAcentral
GUCCUACGGGGGGCAGCAGUGGGGAAUAUUGCACAAUGGGGGAAACCCUGAUGCAGCAACGCCGCGUGAGUGAAGAAGUAUUUCGGUAUGUAAAGCUCUAUCAGCAGGGAAGAAAAUGACGGUACCUGAGUAAGAAGCCCCGGCUAACUACGUGCCAGCAGCCGCGGUAAUACGUAGGGGGCAAGCGUUAUCCGGAUUUACUGGGUGUAAAGGGAGCGUAGACGGCGAUGCAAGUCUGAAGUGAAAGGCAGGGGCUUAACCCCUGAACUGCUUUGGAAACUGCCAUGCUAGAGUGCUGGAGAGGU